Molecule: small nuclear RNA, 102 nt
Organism: Gorilla gorilla gorilla (western lowland gorilla)
Lineage: Eukaryota; Metazoa; Chordata; Mammalia; Primates; Hominidae
Source: RefSeq, a predicted model, not a curated record
GUGUAAGACACCAUCUCAAAAAAAAAAAAAAAAAAAAAAAAAAGAUUAGUAUGGCCCCUGUCCAAGGAUGACACACAAAUUUGUAAAGUAUUCCAUAGUUUU